GUGAAUCAUCAAAUCUUUGAACGCAAAUUGCACUCCCUGGUAUUCCGGGGAGUAUGCCUGUUUGAGAUUCGUUAGAAAAAAAAUCGCGGCGUCGCUCUUUUUUUAAGGGUGAUCGCGUCGGAAUUUCGCAGUCUUUCAAAUGUUAGUUCGUGUAAAAUUAACUUGAAAUUCAUCCUUCCGGUACUAUUCAA
RNAcentral lists this unclassified non-coding RNA (191 nucleotides) under Glomeraceae sp. RNAcentral describes it as "partial contains 5.8S ribosomal RNA and internal transcribed spacer 2". The stretch from base 1 to 71 matches the Rfam family "5.8S ribosomal RNA", at positions 84 to 154 of the family's 154-position model. Lineage: Eukaryota; Fungi; Glomeromycota; Glomeromycetes; Glomerales; Glomeraceae. The record is from RNAcentral.